UUCAGAAAUAGUAAUUAUAUUUUUAAAGAGUUUGGGGAAAAUAGAAGUGUAUACUCUAAUCUUAUAGCAAAGUUUCUGCUAAGUUUUUGUGAUGCCAGUGUUUUCAUUAUGAAUCAUUUCACUGUCAAACAAAAUGUACGCUGUUGAUUAAACAGAGGCAAAAAGAGACGGAAAGAAAAAGGUAUAUUAAAAAAAAGACCUUUGGUUAUUCUGGCUGCCACCAAUUGCUUUCUUGUUUCAGCUGAAUUUUGAAGUAGCUAAUCAUAUUUUGGCAUUUUCUUGUCAUCAAAGCAUUUCGUGAAAUUAUCCCAUUACAAUGUUUUUCUCAGAGGCA
Molecule: long non-coding RNA, 334 nt
Filed under: Homo sapiens (human)
Lineage: Eukaryota; Metazoa; Chordata; Mammalia; Primates; Hominidae
Description: HSALNT0089191
Source: RNAcentral